GAUGAACGCUAGCUACAGGCUUAACACAUGCAAGUCGAGGGGCAUCAGGAAGAAAGCUUGCUUUCUUUGCUGGCGACCGGCGCACGGGUGAGUAACACGUAUCCAACCUGCCCUUUACUCGGGGAUAGCCUUUCGAAAGAAAGAUUAAUACCCGAUGGUAUAAUUAUUCCGCAUGGUUUGAUUAUUAAAGGAUUCCGGUAAAGGAUGGGGAUGCGUUCCAUUAGGUUGUUGGUGAGGUAACGGCUCACCAAGCCUUCGAUGGAUAGGGGUUCUGAGAGGAAGGUCCCCCACAUUGGAACUGAGACACGGUCCAAACUCCUACGGGAGGCAGCAGUGAGGAAUAUUGGUCAAUGGGCGCGAGCCUGAACCAGCCAAGUAGCGUGAAGGAUGACUGCCCUAUGGGUUGUAAACUUCUUUUAUAUUAGAAUAAAGUGCAGUAUGUAUACUGUUUUGUAUGUAUAAUAUGAAUAAGGAUCGGCUAACUCCGUGCCAGCAGCCGCGGUAAUACGGAGGAUCCGAGCGUUAUCCGGAUUUAUUGGGUUUAAAGGGAGCGUAGGUGGACUGGUAAGUCAGUUGUGAAAGUUUGCGGCUCAACCGUAAAAUUGCAGUUGAUACUGUCAGCCUUGAG
RNAcentral lists this ribosomal RNA (628 nucleotides) under uncultured bacterium. RNAcentral describes it as "bacterial SSU rRNA". It matches the Rfam family "Bacterial small subunit ribosomal RNA", at positions 28 to 646 of the family's 1533-position model. The record is from RNAcentral.